Molecule: ribosomal RNA, 403 nt
Filed under: uncultured bacterium
Lineage: Bacteria
Description: bacterial SSU rRNA
Rfam family: Bacterial small subunit ribosomal RNA
Source: RNAcentral
UUUUGGACAAUGGGCGCAAGCCUGAUCCAGCAAUGCCGCGUGCAGGAAGAAGGCCUUCGGGUUGUAAACUGCUUUUGUACGGAACCAAACGGUCCUGGUUAAUACCUGGGGCUAAUGACGGUACCGUAAGAAUAAGCACCGGCUAACUACGUGCCAGCAGCCGCGGUAAUACGUAGGGUGCAAGCGUUAAUCGGAAUUACUGGGCGUAAAGCGUGCGCAGGCGGUUUUGUAAGACAGGCGUGAAAUCCCCGGGCUUAACCUGGGAAUGGCGCUUGUGACUGCAAAGCUGGAGUGCGGCAGAGGGGGAUGGAAUUCCGCGUGUAGCAGUGAAAUGCGUAGAUAUGCGGAGGAACACCGAUGGCGAGGCAAUCCCCUGGGCCUGCACUGACGCUCAUGCACGAAA